AACGAGGCCGACCUGCGGCUGAGUUACCUGCGGAGGGAUCAUUACAAGUGACCCCGGUCUAACCACCGGGAUGUUCAUAACCCUUUGUUGUCCGACUCUGUUGCCUCCGGGGCGACCCUGCCUUCGGGCGGGGGCUCCGGGUGGACACUUCAAACUCUUGCGUAACUUUGCAGUCUGAGUAAACUUAAUUAAUAAAUUAAAACUUUCAACAACGGAUCU
Molecule: unclassified non-coding RNA, 219 nt
Filed under: soil metagenome
Description: partial contains 5.8S ribosomal RNA, internal transcribed spacer 2, and large subunit ribosomal RNA
Source: RNAcentral